CACGUAGGGCGCAAGCGUUGUCCGGAAUUAUUGGGCGUAAAGAGCUCGUAGGCGGUUUGUCGCGUCUGCUGUGAAAUCCCGAGGCUCAACCUCGGGCCUGCAGUGGGUACGGGCAGACUGGAGUGCGGUAGGGGAGAAUGGAAUUCCUGGUGUAGCGGUGGAAUGCGCAGAUAUCAGGAGGAACACCGAUGGCGAAGGCAGUUCUCUGGGCCGUAACUGACGCUGAGGAGCGAAAGCGUGGGGAGCGAACAGG
RNAcentral lists this ribosomal RNA (253 nucleotides) under uncultured bacterium. RNAcentral's name for it is "partial 16S ribosomal RNA". It matches the Rfam family "Bacterial small subunit ribosomal RNA", at positions 524 to 776 of the family's 1533-position model. The record is from RNAcentral.